UAACGGCUGAACUGGCAACUUGGAGAAGUGGCAAGCCCUAUUUUGAUCAUAUCUUUGAAUAUGAUCUAUAGGGUUGUAUUAAAAUUGAAUAAAGCUUUGUUUAUAUAUUGAUAAUGACAGUAUAUAUAUCGUGUCUUGACUAAUUGCGUGCCAGCAGUCGCGGUAAUACGUAAGAGACUAGUGUUAUUCAUCUUAAUUAGGUUUAAAGGGUACCUAGACGGUCAAUAUAGCUUCUAAAAUGUUAGUACUUGACUAGAGUUUUAUGUAAGAGGGCAGUACUUGAGGAGGAGAGAUGAAAUUCUAUGAUACCAAAGGGACUCGGUAAAGGCGAAGGCAGCCCUCUAUGUAAAAACNGACGUUAAAGGACGAAGGCACAGAGCACAAACAGGAUUAGAUACCCAAGUAGUCUUUGCAGUAAAUGAUGAAUGCCAUAGGUUAGAUUAAGAUUUAAUAUUAUAAUUUAAAAUUAAAUAUUAAACAUUAUUUGGUCUAUAAAUGAAAGUGUAAGCAUUUCACCUCAAGAGUAAUGUGGCA
Molecule: ribosomal RNA, 534 nt
Filed under: Trichoderma fertile
Lineage: Eukaryota; Fungi; Ascomycota; Sordariomycetes; Hypocreales; Hypocreaceae
Description: SSU rRNA
Rfam family: Bacterial small subunit ribosomal RNA
Source: RNAcentral